UGGGGGAUAUUGCACAAUGGGCGAAAGCCUGAUGCAGCGACGCCGCGUGGGGGAUGAAGGCCUUCGGGUUGUAAACUUCUUUUGCUCUGAACAAGGCGCACCAUGGGGUGUGUUGAGUGUAGGGGUUGAUUAGCGCCGGCUAACUACGUGCCAGCAGCCGCGGUAAUACGUAGGGCGCGAGCGUUGUCCGGAAUUAUUGGGCGUAAAGGGCUUGUAGGUGGCUGGUUGGGUCUGUCGUGAAAGCUCAUGGCUUAACUGUGGGUUUGCGGUGGGUACGGGCUGGCUUGAGUGCAGUAGGGGAGGCUGGAAUUCCUGGUGUAGCGGUGGAAUGCGCAGAUAUCAGGAGGAAUACCGGUGGCGAAGGCGGGUCUCUGGGCUGUUACUGACACUGAGGAGCGAAAGCAUGGGGAGCGAACAGG
Molecule: ribosomal RNA, 419 nt
Filed under: bacterium
Lineage: Bacteria
Description: partial 16S ribosomal RNA
Rfam family: Bacterial small subunit ribosomal RNA
Source: RNAcentral